Molecule: ribosomal RNA, 879 nt
Filed under: Staphylococcus aureus
Lineage: Bacteria; Bacillati; Bacillota; Bacilli; Caryophanales; Staphylococcaceae
Description: partial 23S ribosomal RNA
Rfam family: Bacterial large subunit ribosomal RNA
Source: RNAcentral
ACAAGUAGUCAGAGCCCGUUAAUGGGUGAUGGCGUGCCUUUUGUAGAAUGAACCGGCGAGUUACGAUUUGAUGCAAGGUUAAGCAGUAAAUGUGGAGCCGUAGCGAAAGCGAGUCUGAAUAGGGCGUUUAGUAUUUGGUCGUAGACCCGAAACCAGGUGAUCUACCCUUGGUCAGGUUGAAGUUCAGGUAACACUGAAUGGAGGACCGAACCGACUUACGUUGAAAAGUGAGCGGAUGAACUGAGGGUAGCGGAGAAAUUCCAAUCGAACCUGGAGAUAGCUGGUUCUCUCCGAAAUAGCUUUAGGGCUAGCCUCAAGUGAUGAUUAUUGGAGGUAGAGCACUGUUUGGACGAGGGGCCCCUCUCGGGUUACCGAAUUCAGACAAACUCCGAAUGCCAAUUAAUUUAACUUGGGAGUCAGAACAUGGGUGAUAAGGUCCGUGUUCGAAAGGGAAACAGCCCAGACCACCAGCUAAGGUCCCAAAAUAUAUGUUAAGUGGAAAAGGAUGUGGCGUUGCCCAGACAACUAGGAUGUUGGCUUAGAAGCAGCCAUCAUUUAAAGAGUGCGUAAUAGCUCACUAGUCGAGUGACACUGCGCCGAAAAUGUACCGGGGCUAAACAUAUUACCGAAGCUGUGGAUUGUCCUUUGGACAAUGGUAGGAGAGCGUUCUAAGGGCGUUGAAGCAUGAUCGUAAGGACAUGUGGAGCGCUUAGAAGUGAGAAUGCCGGUGUGAGUAGCGAAAGACGGGUGAGAAUCCCGUCCACCGAUUGACUAAGGUUUCCAGAGGAAGGCUCGUCCGCUCUGGGUUAGUCGGGUCCUAAGCUGAGGCCGACAGGCGUAGGCGAUGGAUAACAGGUUGAUAUUCCUGUACCACCUAUA